UUUUCUUUUCUCUGUCCAGACAUAUGCAGGUCUGGAUCUCCAGUCCGCGACCUCUGACCUGUACAACACACUCACAACCGUUCACCACAGACCUGCUGAAAACUCCUGCUCCACUCUUGAUCCUCAGAGCUCUUCUGAACAUCACAAUCCACCAAUCAACAGGAGGAGGCUGCAGUGAGACGCGGAGCCAGAAACAACCAAUCCUGAGAAGUGUGGGAGGAGCCACAGAUGAUUGACAGGGUUUAUUAGUGAUGAUUUAAUUACUAAAGUGCCAUGGCGCGACCACUACUUACUCUUAAAGGGAAUGAGAGAUGAGUCUCUGAUUGGUUUAAUGCAUGUUACUCCCUAAACACAUCCAUAACUAAUUAAGAGAAUAAGAACGACCCAUUUGGACCAUGUGCCGGUCUAAAUCCUAAAAAUUUAAAUCCUUAAAAAGUUGAUUCAGACACUUCUUCAGUGCUUUGUUCCAUCUGCUUUAGACUUUUGAGUUUAGAUUGCUAAAAUGGAGCCCAAUGUGUAAAACCCUCACUUCACCAGCAGAGGCCUCCAUUUUCUAAAUGUUUUAUUUUUCAUAAAAAAACUCUCCACUGAUUUAUGGUUUUCUGAUGUACUGUGCUUAAAGUUAUUUGAAUGUGUUCUGCUUUAUUUAUAAUGGAUCAUACUGUGAGCAAUAUUAAUAAUCUGAGUAGUCUGGUUUGUAAAGAGUGAAAUGUUUCUCAUUGUGAUUUGUGUUUAAUCUUUUUUACCUUUUAUUUUUAGUCGUGUGUAAAUGUGUAUGUCUGUAAUGACUAAUGCUUUGCCAAUGCAGUAAAGACUUUUCAAAGCCAGCUGAGUAUCAAUAAUACA
Danio rerio (zebrafish) is the source of this 846-nucleotide non-coding RNA. The record is from RefSeq and is a predicted model, not a curated record. Lineage: Eukaryota; Metazoa; Chordata; Actinopteri; Cypriniformes; Danionidae.